GAUGAACGCUGGCGGCGUGCCUAAUACAUGCAAGUCGAGCGAACGGACCAGGAGCUUGCUUUUCUGAUGUUAUCGGCGGACGGGUGAUUAACACGUGGAUAACCUACCUAUAAGACUGGGAUAACUUCGGGAAACCGGAGCUACUACCGGAUAAUAUUUUGACCCGCAUGGUUCAAAAGUGAAAGACGGUCUUUCUUUCGCUUAUAGAUUGAUCCGCGCUGCAUUAGUUAGUUGGUAAGGUAACGGCUUACCAAGGCAACGAUGCAUAGCCGACCUGAGAGGGUGAACGGACACACGGGAAGGGAGAAACAGCACAGACUCCGGCGGGAGGCAGCAGUAGGGAAUCUUACGCGAUGGGCGAAAGCCUGACGGAGCAACGCCGCGUGAGUGAUGAAGGUGUACGGACCGGAAAACGAUGUAAGUAGGGAAGAACAUAUGUGUAAGUAACUGUGCAGAUAUUGACGGUACCGAAUCAGAAAGCUACGGCUAACUACGUG
Molecule: ribosomal RNA, 497 nt
Filed under: uncultured bacterium
Lineage: Bacteria
Description: partial 16S ribosomal RNA
Rfam family: Bacterial small subunit ribosomal RNA
Source: RNAcentral